CUGGGGCUUCCCGCCGAGUCGUGGGAAUGACUUCGGCGGAUCGCUAGUUAGCAUAGUUUAGGGUUAGAACUAGGGCGGUAUCUGAUCGCCUUCGAUCCUCUAACUUUCGUUCUUGAUUAAUGAAAACAUUCUCGGCAAAUGCUUUCGCAGUAGUUAGUCUUGCGACGGUCCAAGAAUUUCACCUCUAGCGUCGCAAUACUAAUGCCACCGUCUGUCCCUUUUAAUCAUUACCUCGGUUCAUUAAAACCGACAAAAAGAACAGAAUCGAGGUCCUGUUACUUCAUUCCAUGCACAGACAUUCAGGCCGUGUAUAAGCCCGCUUUAAGCACUCUAAUUUUUUCAAAGUGAACGUGUCGGCCACCCUGGAACACUCGGUAAAGAGCACUCCGAGCGAGCCGACAAAAUUUUAAUUGUACCAAACGCGGACGAGCUAUACCGGAAGGCAGCGUUCCGCAGUCCGAGAGAUUCCGUAAAACGAAACGACGGCGGCCCCUAGCGUAACGCGACCGAAAGCGACUACUACCGAUCAAAGGACCGACAGAGCCGCGCAACGGAGCGAACGUAGAGAAACGCGCGCCGCGACGCAACGUCAUCUAACAACUUGCGCGAAACACUAGACCGACUAGCGACUCACCCACGAAAUGGAUCUAGAAAGUCCAACUACGAGCUUUUUAACCGCAGCAACUUUAAUAUACGCUAUUGGAGCUGGAAUUACCGCGGCUGCUGGCACCAGACUUGCCCUCCAAUGGAUCCUCGUCCAAAGAUUUAAGAUGGACUCAUUCCGAUUGCGAGGCCUCGGAAGAGUCUCGCAUCGUUAUUUUUCGUCACUACCUCCCCGGGCUGGGAGUGGGUAAUUUGCGUGCCUGCUGCCUUCCUUAGAUGUGGUAGCCGUUUCUCAGGCUCCCUCUCCGGAAUCGAACCCUGAUUCCCCGUUACCCGUUACAGCCAUUGUAGGGGUUUAACCUACAAUCG
Molecule: ribosomal RNA, 972 nt
Filed under: Macrostylis sp. ML02
Lineage: Eukaryota; Metazoa; Arthropoda; Malacostraca; Isopoda; Macrostylidae
Description: partial 18S ribosomal RNA
Source: RNAcentral